AGCCGAAACGUGACUACGUCUCUCAGUGGUGGUCUCCUGAGACUGAUGAUGGCAGCCUCGA
RNAcentral lists this non-coding RNA (61 nucleotides) under Vibrio parahaemolyticus. Lineage: Bacteria; Pseudomonadati; Pseudomonadota; Gammaproteobacteria; Vibrionales; Vibrionaceae. The record is from RNAcentral.